UGGCGAACGGGUGAGUAACACGUGGGUGAUCUGCCCUGCACUCUGGGAUAAGCCUGGGAAACUGGGUCUAAUACCGGAUAGGACCAUGCUUUAGUGUGUGAGGUGGAAAGUUUUUUCGGUGUAGGAUGAGCCCGCGGCCUAUCAGCUUGUUGGUGGGGUAAUGGCCUACCAAGGCGGCGACGGGUAGCCGGACUGAGAGGUUGGUCGGCCACAUUGGGACUGAGAUACGGCCCAG
Molecule: ribosomal RNA, 235 nt
Filed under: uncultured Actinomycetales bacterium
Lineage: Bacteria; Bacillati; Actinomycetota; Actinomycetes; Actinomycetales
Description: partial 16S ribosomal RNA
Rfam family: Bacterial small subunit ribosomal RNA
Source: RNAcentral